GGGGGCGAAUAGGGUUCGACGUUUCUACUGGACUCCGAAGCGCAUGCCAAGAUUGUGGUAAUUCUUGUAAAACAUACUACAAAAAAUUUAGUUGCAAAUAACGACAACUACGCUUUA
Molecule: transfer-messenger RNA, 117 nt
Filed under: Gammaproteobacteria bacterium TMED226
Lineage: Bacteria; Pseudomonadati; Pseudomonadota; Gammaproteobacteria
Description: partial transfer-messenger RNA
Rfam family: transfer-messenger RNA
About the family: Bacterial tmRNA, also known as 10Sa RNA or SsrA, is named for its dual tRNA and mRNA-like properties.
Source: RNAcentral